Molecule: long non-coding RNA, 578 nt
Filed under: Ananas comosus (pineapple)
Lineage: Eukaryota; Viridiplantae; Streptophyta; Magnoliopsida; Poales; Bromeliaceae
Description: long non-coding RNA (ACOM_LNC042911)
Source: RNAcentral
GAUUUGUAAAUUAACUCUAGUGGAUAAGAAUUAAUAUUUAAAUCUAUUGUUGAUAAAUUAAAGAUUUAAAUAUUAAUUAGAGUAUGAAUCUAAGUAGAUUAGGAUAAUAUUUAAAUCUAUAGGAGAUAAACUAAAUAUAGAUUUAAAUAUUUAUUAGAGUAGGAAUCCUAAAUAUACUAGGAUUUGGGUACAUUUUAUUGUAAACACUAUAUAAGCAUCAUGUGGGUUGCUUUUGGAGUGAUUGUACGGCCAAAAAGUUGAAGCUCUUUGGUAGGUUGUACCAAAGAGAGAGAGUUGGCCGGUUGCAUGCACCUAGUGCACGGGUGCAUGUGAGAGAGAAAGAGAGUUGUCUUUUAGAUUUAUAAAAGACGAGAGAAUGGUAGAAGAGAUUCAGAAAGAGGGUUCGGGUUGUAGCUACUCUGUUGCAGAAGAGGAGUCAGGUGUAAUCUUUUCUUAUUUAAUAAAUCUUAUUUUACCUGCAUAUUUUUUGUUUUGGUUUUUCUCUCUUUUGUGAUUGUAUCAGCUUUUGCUGAGAAGACGAGUUUGACGAGUAUAUGGUAAAAAUCCGAUUUGACGCU